RNAcentral lists this ribosomal RNA (475 nucleotides) under uncultured organism. RNAcentral describes it as "partial 16S ribosomal RNA". It matches the Rfam family "Bacterial small subunit ribosomal RNA", at positions 333 to 799 of the family's 1533-position model. The record is from RNAcentral.
ACACUCCUGCGGGAGGCAGCAGUGGGGAAUAUUGCACAAUGGGCGCAAGCCUGAUGCAGCCAUGCCGCGUGUAUGAAGAAGGCCUUCGGGUUGUAAAGUACUUUCAGCGGGGAGGAAGGCGAUAAGGUUAAUAACCUUGUCGAUUGACGUUACCCGCAGAAGAAGCACCGGCUAACUCCGUGCCAGCAGCCGCGGUAAUACGGAGGGUGCAAGCGUUAAUCGGAAUUACUGGGCGUAAAGCGCACGCAGGCGGUCUGUCAAGUCGGAUGUGAAAUCCCCGGGCUCAACCUGGGAACUGCAUUCGAAACUGGCAGGCUGGAGUCUUGUAGAGGGGGGUAGAAUUCCAGGUGUAGCGGUGAAAUGCGUAGAGAUCUGGAGGAAUACCGGUGGCGAAGGCGGCCCCCUGGACAAAGACUGACGCUCAGGUGCGAAAGCGUGGGGAGCAAACAGGAUUAGAAACCCGUGUAGUCCCAUG